Schistosoma mansoni is the source of this 46-nucleotide non-coding RNA. NCBI's taxonomy places the organism in Eukaryota, Metazoa, Platyhelminthes, Trematoda, Strigeidida, Schistosomatidae. The record is from Rfam.
GCACUGCUAAAGAGUUCCACAAUAGGACGAAAUGGCCGUCCAGUGC